Molecule: non-coding RNA, 79 nt
Organism: Cephalotus follicularis
Lineage: Eukaryota; Viridiplantae; Streptophyta; Magnoliopsida; Oxalidales; Cephalotaceae
Source: Rfam
AGGAGCCGUGCGAGAUGAAAGUCUCAUGCAUGGUUUUGAAUGAGAGAAAGAGGUGAGGAAUCCUCUUUUCGACUCUGAC